CUGCUCGCUUGGGCAGCACAUAUACUAAAAUUGGAACAAUACAGAGAAGAUUAGCACGGCCCUUGCACAAGGAUGACACACAAAUUUGUGAAGUGUUCCAUAAAAGA
This 107-nucleotide small nuclear RNA is filed under the name Salvator merianae (Argentine black and white tegu). Lineage: Eukaryota; Metazoa; Chordata; Lepidosauria; Squamata; Teiidae. The record is from RNAcentral.